UACGGGGGGGGCAAGCGUUGUUCGGAAUUACUGGGCGUAAAGGGCUCGUAGGUGGCCAACUAAGUCAGACGUGAAAUCCCCAGGCUCAACCUGGGAACUGCGUCUGAUACUGGAUGGCUUGAAUUCGGGAGAGGGAUGCAGAAUUCCAGGUGUAGCGGUGAAAUGCGUAGAUAUCUGGAGGAACACCGGUGGCGAAGGCGGCGUUCUGGACUGCAACUGACACUGAGGAACGAAAGCCAGGGGAGCAAACGGG
Molecule: ribosomal RNA, 253 nt
Filed under: uncultured bacterium
Lineage: Bacteria
Description: partial 16S ribosomal RNA
Rfam family: Bacterial small subunit ribosomal RNA
Source: RNAcentral